UAAACAUAUAACCCUCGAGUCGACUUUCAGCCCCGAGUAAGUUGCUCGCCGAACGGUUUUAAAGGUUGACGACCGAUGAUGCUAAACGGAUUUUACCCUUGCUAGAGCCUUCAAACAAGUUCUGGAGACAUUUACAGUGGCCUAUCCAGAACUUUCCUUACAAGGGAAGGGAAGAAGGCCAAGACCCCACUCCCCCCUACAAUUCCCAAAACAUAUUACUUACUCUUGAUGCUCCACAAGAUCAAGGUUGAGGGAAACAAGACGUACAAAGAUGUGGAGUUGUAGUUUUAAAAACUGUUCCCCCAAAGCAGUUAUCAACCGUAUAGGUUUGAAAAGAAACCAAAGCAUGUGGCAUCAACUGCUGCAUCACUUGUAGG
Molecule: long non-coding RNA, 377 nt
Organism: Physella acuta
Lineage: Eukaryota; Metazoa; Mollusca; Gastropoda; Physidae
Source: RefSeq, a predicted model, not a curated record